RNAcentral lists this ribosomal RNA (466 nucleotides) under uncultured bacterium. RNAcentral's name for it is "partial 16S ribosomal RNA". It matches the Rfam family "Bacterial small subunit ribosomal RNA", at positions 29 to 507 of the family's 1533-position model. The record is from RNAcentral.
ACGAACGCUGGCGGCGUGCUUAACACAUGCAAGUCGAACGGAAAGGCUCCAGCUUGCUGGAGUACUCGAGUGGCGAACGGGUGAGUAACACGUGGGUAAUCUGCCCUGCACUCUGGGAUAAGCCUGGGAAACUGGGUCUAAUACUGGAUAUGACCUUUCUCCUUAUGGGGUUUGGUGGAAAGUUUUUCGGUGUAGGAUGAGCCCGCGGCCUAUCAGCUUGUUGGUGGGGUGAUGGCCUACCAAGGCGACGACGGGUAGCCGGCCUGAGAGGGUGAUCGGCCACAUUGGGACUGAGAUACGGCCCAGACUCCUACGGGAGGCAGCAGUGGGGAAUAUUGCACAAUGGGCGGAAGCCUGAUGCAGCGACGCCGCGUGAGGGAUGACGGCCUUCGGGUUGUAAACCUCUUUCGGCAGGGACGAAGCGUAAGUGACGGUACCUGCAGAAGAAGCACCGGCUAACUAUGUG